This 253-nucleotide ribosomal RNA is filed under the name uncultured bacterium. RNAcentral's name for it is "partial 16S ribosomal RNA". It matches the Rfam family "Bacterial small subunit ribosomal RNA", at positions 524 to 776 of the family's 1533-position model. The record is from RNAcentral.
UACAGAGGUCCCGAGCGUUGUUCGGAUUCAUUGGGCGUAAAGGGUGCGUAGGCGGUCUGCUAAGGUUGAUGUGAAAUCCCGGGGCUCAACCCUGGAAUGGCAUUGAAUACUGGUGGACUAGAGUACUGGAGAGGAAACUGGAAUUUACGGUGUAGCAGUGAAAUGCGUAGAGAUCGUAAGGAAGACCAGUGGCGAAGGCGAGUUUCUGGACAGUAACUGACGCUGAGGCACGAAGGCCAGGGGAGCAAACGGG